CUUGCCUUGUCUGAUUAGUGGCGAACGGGUGAGUAACACGUGCACUAACCUGCCCCCCUCUUCGGGAUAACCUCGGGUAAAUCGGGGCUAAUACCGGAUAUGACUUCGCACCGCAUGGUGUGUUGUGGAAAGUUUUUCGGUGGCGGAUGGACUCGCGGCCUAUCAGUUUGUUGGUGAGGUAAUGGCUCACCAAGGCGAUGACGGGUAGCCGGCCUGAGAGGGCGACCGGCCACACUGGGACUGAGACACGGCCCAGACUCAUACGGGAGGCAGCAGUGGGGAAUAUUGCACAAUGGGCGGAAAGCCUGGAUGCAGCGACGCCGCGUGGGGGAUGACGGCCUUCGGGUUGUAAACCUCUUUCAGUAGGGAAGAAGCGAAAGUGACGGUACCUGCAGAAGAAGCGCCGGCUAACUACGUGCCAGCAGCCGCGGUAAUACGUAGGGCGCAAGCGUUGUCCGGAAUUAUUGGGCGUAAAGAGCUUGUAGGUGGCUUGUCGCGUCUGCCGUGAAAACCCGAGGCUCAACCUCGGGCGUGCGGUGGGUACGGGCAGGCUAGAGUGUGGUAGGGGAGACUGGAACUCCUGGUGUAGCGGUGAUAUGCGCAGAUAUCAGGAAGAACACCGAUGGCGAAGGCAGGUCUCUGGGCCAUUACUGACACUGAGAAGCGAAAGCAUGGGGAGCGAACAGGAUUAGAUACCCUGGUAGUCCAUGCCGUAAACGUUGGGCACUAGGUGUGGGGAACAUUCCACGUUUUCCGCGCCGUAGCUAACGCAUUAAGUGCCCCGCCUGGGGAGUACGGCCGCAAGGCUAAAACUCAAAGGAAUUGACGGGGGCCCGCACAAGCGGCGGAGCAUGCGGAUUAAUUCGAUGCAACGCGAAGAACCUUACCAAGGCUUGACAUGCACCGGACGACUCCAGAGAUGGGGUUUUCUUCGGACUGGUGCACAGGUGGUGCAUGGUUGUCGUCAGCUCGUGUCGUGAGAUGUUGGGUUAAGUCCCGCAACGAGCGCAACCCUCGUUCCAUGUUGCCAGCGCGUUAUGGCGGGGACUCAUGGGAGACUGCCGGGGUCAACUCGGAGGAAGGUGGGGACGACGUCAAAUCAUCAUGCCCCUUAUGUCUUGGGCUUCACGCAUGCUACAAUGGCCGGUACAAUGGGUUGCGAAACUGUGAGGUGGAGCGAAUCC
Molecule: ribosomal RNA, 1184 nt
Filed under: Brachybacterium sp.
Lineage: Bacteria; Bacillati; Actinomycetota; Actinomycetes; Micrococcales; Dermabacteraceae
Description: bacterial SSU rRNA
Rfam family: Bacterial small subunit ribosomal RNA
Source: RNAcentral